Molecule: non-coding RNA, 125 nt
Organism: Triticum aestivum (bread wheat)
Lineage: Eukaryota; Viridiplantae; Streptophyta; Magnoliopsida; Poales; Poaceae
Source: Rfam
UUACUACUCCCUCCAUCCAAAAAUACUUGUCGAAGAAAUGCAUAAAAACGAAUGUAUCUAGAACUAAAAUCCAUCUACAUACAUCCAUUCCUCCGACGAGUAUUUCCGAAUGGAGGGACUACUCU